This 253-nucleotide ribosomal RNA is filed under the name uncultured bacterium. Its description in RNAcentral is "partial 16S ribosomal RNA". It matches the Rfam family "Bacterial small subunit ribosomal RNA", at positions 524 to 776 of the family's 1533-position model. The record is from RNAcentral.
UACGUAGGGUGCGAGCGUUAAUCGGAAUUACUGGGCGUAAAGCGUGCGCAGGCGGUGAUGUAAGACAGAUGUGAAAUCCCCGGGCUCAACCUGGGAACUGCAUUUGUGACUGCAUCGCUGGAGUGCGGCAGAGGGGGAUGGAAUUCCGCGUGUAGCAGUGAAAUGCGUAGAUAUGCGGAGGAACACCGAUGGCGUAGGCAAUCCCCUGGGCCUGCACUGACGCUCAUGCACGAAAGCGUGGGGAGCAAACAGG